Limulus polyphemus (Atlantic horseshoe crab) is the source of this 526-nucleotide long non-coding RNA. RefSeq lists it as uncharacterized. The transcript has 3 exons. The record is from RefSeq and is a predicted model, not a curated record. NCBI's taxonomy places the organism in Eukaryota, Metazoa, Arthropoda, Merostomata, Xiphosura, Limulidae.
UGCAGACUGUGCAGUAGGAUUCUAGGCUGCAACCGCUGUGUAUGACCAGUUUGUCCGGAAAUCGAGGACGACCAGUUCUGGAAGAUAUCACGUGACCCAGUCCUAUAUAUUGUUGAUUGUCUCAGGCGCUGGUUUCUCAGUUGUAUGCAAUAGAACCCUGCUGACUCAAACAUUCAUUUGAACAGUGAAGCCUGAAUAUGCAUUCCGCCGUUAUAAGCUUGAUAUUAUUCAUCUUGACGUUGACGACACAAGUUUACUGUCAUAAAGAUGGAGCUCCCUCUCGUGCUUGCUUAAGUAUGACUCCUCAACAUGACGUAGAAGCCCAGAUUAGCAAAUCUCCGUACAACAUCUCUACAAGCAAAUCUUCUGGUAAAGUAGGGGAUGUUAUUUCAGUGACAAUCAAUGGUGAACUUCCGUUUAAAGGAUUUUUUCUGCAGGCCAGAAAGGAAGAUUCUCAGAAGAUCUUAACGGGAGAGUUCUUGACGUCAUCAAAUGCUGUUCAAACCUUGAAUUGUCAGCGUGGGUU